AAGGCAAUUAGCCAUGUCUUCUUCCUCUUGGGUGCUAUCUUGGAAUUCUUGAGAAGUGGUUGGUGACACGUUUGCACAAAUCUUUCCAUUAACACAAACAUCUCCAUCUCCAUCUCCAUCACCAUCAACACCACCACCAUCUCCGCUCAAGGAAUUAGAGGUUAGAUUAGCAAAAGGGAUUGGCGAUUGAACCCUUUGUCGUUUGGUUCGCUUGCCCUUAACGAUGUUGUUUCUGGUGACUUCCUCUUGAGCUUCCAUUGUUCCUACACCACUUGAAUAUGUGUAUGAGAGAGAGGAAGAGAGGGAGAGAAGAUAGGUG
Molecule: unclassified non-coding RNA, 319 nt
Filed under: Hevea brasiliensis (rubber tree)
Lineage: Eukaryota; Viridiplantae; Streptophyta; Magnoliopsida; Malpighiales; Euphorbiaceae
Source: RNAcentral